Molecule: long non-coding RNA, 3393 nt
Organism: Pan troglodytes (chimpanzee)
Lineage: Eukaryota; Metazoa; Chordata; Mammalia; Primates; Hominidae
Exons: 4
Source: RefSeq, a predicted model, not a curated record
GAAUAAAAACAGGCUGCCUGAGCCAGGAGAGGCAACUCACUGGCGUCCUGUUCCAUGCUGUGGAAGCUUUAUUCUUUCAGUCUUUGCACUAAAUCUUGCUGUUGCUCACUCUUUGGGUCUGUGCCGCCUUUGUGAGCUGUAACACUCACCGCAAAGGUCUGCAGCUUCAUUUCUGAAGCCAGCGAGACCAUGAACCCACUGGGAGGGACAAACGACUCUGGAUGGGAGGAAUGAACAAAUGCAGACUUGCUGCCUUCAAUAGCUGUGACACUGCGAAGGUCUGCAGCUUCACUCCUGAAGUCAGUGAGACCAAGAACCCACCAGAAGGAAGAAACUCCAGACACACCAUCUUUAAGAACUGUAACACUCACCGCAAGGGUCCGCAGCUUUAUUCUUGAAGUCAGUAAGACCAAGAACCCACCAAUUCCGGACACACAGCCAUGGGAAAAGGAUGGAGUUAUGACUGAUACAAAAGGAAUCGUUCAUCUCUGCAAACUAAUUUUAGUUCAUCUUCGUCUCGAUGGCCAAAAUCUCAAUAAAUCCCUGGCAGGUAUUAUGCGUGAAUAGAUGGCACUACAUGACAAAAGUUGAGUACCACUGAUUGGCAAGCAAUGAAUAAGAGUUCCUGUUUCUCCACAUCCUCACCAGCAUUUGAUGUUGUCAGUGUUCUGGAUUUCAGCCACUCUAACAGCCCGUCUCUUUUCACAUGACUCCAAAUUUGGCAAUUGUCAGCAGAUGUAUGAAGUUGUGGGAAGACACCAAUGACCCAUCUCAUCUUCCUUCCCUCUGCAAUUCUCAAACGCAAGUAAUAUCAGCUUGUCUGAAAGAUGUUAUCUGUCCAAAUAGUUUUGAUUAUUUGCCCUCAGUGUUUUUGUUACACAUAUUUUACAUGAUGUCAGAACAUAACAUUUUCAGGAAAAAAACAGCCUAGGGAAUCCACAAAGUUCACUGAGCAUAAACAUGGUUUACUAGCAUCAUACUAGGUCAGUUCCUUUAAAAGAGGCUACCUAGAAUAUUUAGUGGCCUCUCUAAAGUUUUUUUGCAGCAUUUUGUUUUAAAAUGCCAGGGUUUAGCUUCAUGAUCCUUUGGGCUUUUAAAGAAUAGUUGCCUUCAUCUUUUAAGGAUGGCAGUGGUAUAUUGGGAGAAUAUAUUUUGAGAACAGUCAUUUUCCUGGCUCAGAAUCCUUCUUAUGUGGUGUUACAAAGAUUGGUGAUAUUUUUGUUAUGAUUUUUAAUAAUUCUAACAAUUUCUUCAUUCCCUUAACUAAAAGAAUCUGCCAUCUCCAUUCCUUCCCCACCAUGUUUCAAAUUUGCUUAUUCACCCUUAGAAACAAUACUUCUCUGUUAAAGUCACAUUGUGUGACAGUGAGGUUUCAAGAGUUCUGGUUAGGCAUUUUGUAGAAUGGCCUUCAUUUUGCAUUUGCCUCACAUUUUCUUAUGAUUACACUGAGGUUAUGAAUUUUUCCAAAGAACCCCACAAGGUGAAGCAUUUUUCUCAUUGCAUCAUGUCAGAGGACAGAUGAUAUUAAUGUGAUUUAUCUCUGGUGAUUUUAACUUUGAUCACUUGGUUAAGACUGUAUCUGUCAGGCUUCGUUCUUAUGUUUUUCCCAUACUAAAUAACAAUUGCAAUGCUUACCUAUGGUGGACAGUGCCUCCUGAGUAUGUUCUCUUUGAUGAUUUACAUUCAGUUCUUAUGAGUACCUGUCUGUGGCUGUCAAUCCUCUCCAUGAGCUUGAAUGUACCUGCCUCCUCCUCAAAGCUACAUGUAUGUUACUUCAACAUUCCUUUAAGGGGAAAGAAAAAGUGGUUCUUUCACAAAGUUUGUGUGAAUUGUCAUCAAUAUUUGACACACAUGCCUGCUCAGCAGCCUCAAGCUAGACAGCAUGUAUGUGGGAAGGAGCAUGGCACAUAGUUGGAAGUACUUUGUGUUUGCAAGUUACAUUGAUGCUACUGAAUCUAAACAUUGAGACCUGGACCAACAAGCCAAGAACCAUCCCAUGCAACUCCCAGUGCAGAUAGCUUCUGCAUAUUAAUUAGUUGAGCAUUUACAGCACCCCUAAUUAGAAAGCUCUAUCACUUUUUAUAGCUAGUACUUGGCCAGGCAGUGGUGAUGCUUAAUGUUGUGAAGGAUCUCGUAACCAAAGUGAAAAGUCCCAAAUCAAGGGAGUCUCCCACUUUGGGCAAACCUUCUCAGAGACUAAUGCAUAAAGAUAUAGAAAUCAAUAAAUUUCAUGCCCAAUGUUUAGGUUACUUAGUUAGCAAUGCCUUAGAGGUUAUCCUGCCUAUCAUUUCACCCUGUGAAGAAAAUUACUACUCCUUAGUAUUUUUUUCCACAUAAAGAAGUUGAUUUAUGAUUUGAUUUUUACAUGUUGUCUGCAAAUUAACGUAUGAUCAUGAGGAUGGAUGUGGUGGCUCACAUCUGUAAUACCAAUACUUUGGGAGGCCAAAGCAGGCCAAUCACUUGAGGCCAGGAGUUUGAGACCAGCCUGGCCAAUGUGAUGAAACCCUGUCUCUGCCAAAAAAUACACAAAUUAGCCGGCUGUGGUGGUGUGUGCCUGUAGCCCCAGCUACUUGGGAGACUGAGAUGGGAGAAUCACUUGAACUUGGGAGGUGGAGCCUGCAGUGAGCUGAGAUCGUGCCACUGCACUCCAGCUUGGGCAACAGAGUAAGACUCUAUCUCAAAAGAAAAACUAUGUAUAUAAUCAUAAGAACAGGCACAAAAAAUCAUAUUUAUAGAUAACAAUUAUACUUCCAUUUGACUUUUCAUUUAGGAAAUUUAUCCUUGUGCUAUUAGCAUAAAUGAUAGUUUUUCUAAUAAGAAGAAAUUAAUUUUUGAGGUUUUAUUAUGAUUAUAAGAGGAAUUCUUACCUUUUCUCUAUAGAAUUGGAGAUUCCAGCUGCUAUUAUGGAAGCAUGGUUGCAGUGGGUUUCCAAUGACUUAUGGUUCAACAUAGAAAUGAUAUUGUUGUAAUUGGUUUAGAGUUUCUUUUCUUGCAGAAGGUGCUGUCACUGCCAUAUGGUGCUGCUGUGAAAACAGGAAGAUUAGAUGCUGACUUUAUUCACUGCAACAGUGAUAUCUCUUCUGAUCAGAUGGUAGCUUCUCAGAGUGUACAGGGAAAAGCAAAGUCUCAGAUCCCAGGGGUCACGGAACAAUGGCAGUUCUGCUGGAAUUGUUCAGAGGAGGUUAUUUGCCUGGCCUCAAGUUUUAGUGUCAGCAGCACAUGAAAACAAGCCUCGGCAAAGGAACAAAUGACCAAGAUGCUUCUAGUAAGGACCUUGAUGAGGAUGGAAGUGAAGACAAAAGGGAAGCUAUGAGACUUGAAAUAUGAUGCACCAUUCCACAGUUUUGAAUGUGGUCCUGUGGGAGAAUAAAGACUGUUGUUUAUUUACAUUAA